GCCAACACCCCCCUUUUUUAAUUAUCACAGCUCACCACUCUACAUGCAUAGGACGAAGGAUUCGAUUUGAUGGUUCAAAUACGGAUCUCCUGUAACCACACCAGGGUAGUGUGUCUCAUUUCAAUAUCUCCGCUUGGGAUUGUGAGGAUUCGUCAUUUUUUAAAUCUUUGCCAAUGCACGCCACCAUUUAGCAUGCUAGGCCUAUAGCAUGCCUGGUACGCUAAUGAGAAGUGGGGGCAAUCUCCAUUUUAAUAGAACCGGUUGGGGCUGAUGUAGCUCUGCGGUCAUUAACUAGACACUUCAGCGAAACAACGGGGUGGAUGCCGAAGUGGAGCAACGCAGUGAAAGGUGUAGCGAGGCACGGUGGGGGGUUCGUCUGACCCAAUAGGCCCACAAAGCAACCCUCUCAGACCCGGUCCUCCCUCUUUUCUGCCUAUUCCAAAAAAAAACGCCUAACAGCGGAGUCUGGCGUAAAGAAAGUCUAGACGGAUCCACUGCACAAAGGGCACAGCAGCUGGAAGAUGUGGGACACAUCUAAAAUUAUGUUUGAUUAAUAAUGGAAAGGAGUAUAAUCCUCCUCAGGUUCCAAGUGGGGGAAAAAAAUCAUAUUAUUAAAAAUAAAGCAUAAGUGUGUUUGGUUAUGCAAAAGCUAGACUAUAGUAUUUUAUUUUGUCUUUAUGUAUACUACUGGACUGGGUAGUUUGAAUCAAAGGAUAUGACACCAAGGAGAGAUCACAGGGAUAAGAAGGAAAAAAAUGUAUGUGAAAGUUGAAUGUGUACUCCACGACCUAGUUACAUUGUUUCAUCUAAAAAUAAAACCCACAAUAAAAAGCCUAAUGAAAAGAACAUGCUAACAGUGACACACAAACCAGAUGUGGACGUGAGCAUAAGAAGCUUCUGGUACAUUAAUGGGAGGUACUGUAUUCUUGCUCAUUUCAGAUUGAGAUCAGUUCACUCUUGCAGUACUAAUUUGGUAAUAUGGUUUGGUAUUUGUUUUAAUUAAUUUUGUAAGAAAGCUUGGACAUUUGUGUUCUUCAGUGUAAUAGUAAAGUUACCUCUACAGCUAA
Long non-coding RNA from Electrophorus electricus (electric eel), 1067 nucleotides. RefSeq lists it as uncharacterized. Lineage: Eukaryota; Metazoa; Chordata; Actinopteri; Gymnotiformes; Gymnotidae. The record is from RefSeq and is a predicted model, not a curated record.